ACUUUGGUUCCAGGGGACUUGAGUGCGGGGGAGCCAGGGGUCACAUUCCAGGAUCCUAGCGGGAUUUGACAAGGACCGGAAGAUAAAAAUUCUCUCCGGAAGUCCAUGCAAACCUGUGUGGUGUGUUCCUCCGGCGGGCUGCGUCCCUUAGUCUGCAGCCGCCGAGGGUAGUGGUUUGCCAUCUCCAUGGAAGGUACGGCGGUCUCGAGUCCAGCCAGUUUCCGUGUCACCGAGCCAAGGCCUGACGGGCGUGGGGAGGUUUUCCUGAGGUCUGCAAAGCGCUCCAUCCAUCUCACCCCGCCCCCGGAAAGUCCGACGAUGGUGGCCGGGAAGGACCACACACAGGUAUCUCUGACCUUUGAAGAUGUGGCCGUGGCUUUCACCCAAGAGGAGUGGGGACAGUUGGACCCUGCUCAAAAACCUGUGCACCAGGAGAUGAUGCUGGAAAUCUAUGGGCUUCUGGUCUCUCUGGAGGUGUUGCAGUAUAAUCCCUGAGUGUGUCCUUGCGUGACCUCUGCUCUUUGAAGAUAAUUUAUCUUCCUGUGCAAGGCCCUGCCGCAUCGCCACCCAACACUUAGUCUCUGCUGUUGACUUCUCUGGGUGUUUGAGGCUUUUUUCAUUUUGUGGUACUUGAGAAUCCGGAGCCGGGGCUGGUGAGAUGGCUCAGUGGCUAGAUCCUCUGAGAGUGUGCAGUUAUAGAAGAGUGUGAUGAUUAUUCCUAUCUUGGCAUGGCAAACCUCCCUCACCCAUCUGUACCUGCUUGUCCUCCCUCAUGGGAGCAAACCACUGGAGUUACUGAAGUAGACUGUUAGUCUUCAGAAGGUAUCCUGUCCCCAGCCUGAGGCUGUUGUGCCAGCUGGAGCAAGUACAGGAGCCAUGGACAGAGUGGUCAAGUCCCCCUGCGGAAGCACCUGCUUGGUUAAGAGUCUGAGCCAGCCGGGCAUGGUGGCACACGCCUUUGAUCCCAGCACU
This is an RNA transcript of Mus pahari (shrew mouse), 972 nucleotides long. It is a transcript of the gene named zinc finger protein 550-like, with no coding region annotated. The transcript is spliced from 5 exons. The record is from RefSeq and is a predicted model, not a curated record. NCBI's taxonomy places the organism in Eukaryota, Metazoa, Chordata, Mammalia, Rodentia, Muridae.